This 301-nucleotide ribosomal RNA is filed under the name uncultured bacterium. Its description in RNAcentral is "partial 16S ribosomal RNA". It matches the Rfam family "Bacterial small subunit ribosomal RNA", at positions 509 to 807 of the family's 1533-position model. The record is from RNAcentral.
CAGCCGCCGCGGUAAUACGGAGGGUGCAAGCGUUAAUCGGAAUUACUGGGCGUAAAGCGUGCGCAGGCGGUUUGUUAAGACAGAUGUGAAAUCCCCGGGCUCAACCUGGGAACUGCAUUUGUGACUGGCAAGCUAGAGUAUGGCAGAGGGGGGUGGAAUUCCGCGUGUAGCAGUGAAAUGCGUAGAUAUGCGGAGGAACACCGAUGGCGAAGGCAGCCCCCUGGGCCAAUACUGACGCUCAUGCACGAAAGCGUGGGGAGCAAACAGGAUUAGAUACCCCAGUAGUCCCUGUCUCUUAUAC